This 407-nucleotide ribosomal RNA is filed under the name uncultured bacterium. Its description in RNAcentral is "partial 16S ribosomal RNA". It matches the Rfam family "Bacterial small subunit ribosomal RNA", at positions 28 to 526 of the family's 1533-position model. The record is from RNAcentral.
GACGAACGCUGGCGGCGUGCCUAAUACAUGCAAGUAGAACGCAGUUGCGAACGGGUGAGUAACGCGUAGGUAACUGCCUCAUAGCGGGGGACAACUAUUGGAAACGAUAGCUAAUACCGCAUCCUGUGAGAUGGACCUGCGUUUUAUUAGCGAGUUGGUGAGGUAAAUGCUCACCAAGGCGACGAUACAUACCCGACCUGAGAGGGUUAUCGGCCACACUGGGAAUGGGGCACGGGCCAGGAUCCUGCUGGAGGGAACAGUAGGGAAUCUUCGGCAAUGGACGGAAGUCUGACCGAGCAACGCCGCGUGAGUGAAGAAGGUUUUCGGAUCGUAAAGCUCUGUUGUUAGAGAAGCGGUACCUAACCAGAAAGGGACGGCUAACUACGUGCCAGCAGCCGCGGUAAUAC